AAAAAAAAAUACCGUAUAGUCUGCUAUAAAGACCCCGAUAUGACAAAAUGUGACACAAUUAAAAGGAAAAACAUAUUUAUGGCAUGAUUGAUGAUACAACAAAAUGUUUGGGGUUAACCUUGAUUGUGAACGCUCAACCCAGUCCUAACCUGGGGCAACGGUUUAAAAGCACUUAUGAACAAACUGUGAAACUCAAUUGAAAAUGGUUUGACUCAUCAGAUAGACACGAAAGCAUAAAAACAAGUAACAUAACGACGAAAGACAAAAAGUGCCGAC
This 276-nucleotide long non-coding RNA is filed under the name Mytilus galloprovincialis (Mediterranean mussel). The record is from RNAcentral. Lineage: Eukaryota; Metazoa; Mollusca; Bivalvia; Mytilida; Mytilidae.